UUUAAUUGAUAAUGUAUUUCAUAUCUAAACCACUAGUGUAUAAGACUUGAUUUGUUAAACUACUCGAGGAGUAUAUAAUUAAUCAACAUAUUUUAUACUCCGAUAAAGUAUCAUUUACAUGUCAUCAUAAUUAGAAGGUGAUCACUACACUUAACAUCCAUUCAAUUAGAUCGAACGUAUAUAAUAAUACUAGCUAUCUCGCGCG
Molecule: long non-coding RNA, 205 nt
Filed under: Solanum tuberosum (potato)
Lineage: Eukaryota; Viridiplantae; Streptophyta; Magnoliopsida; Solanales; Solanaceae
Description: long non-coding RNA (STUB_LNC001910)
Source: RNAcentral